RNAcentral lists this long non-coding RNA (21748 nucleotides) under Eutrema salsugineum. Its description in RNAcentral is "long non-coding RNA (ESAL_LNC000376)". The stretch from base 14469 to 14570 matches the Rfam family "Plant small nucleolar RNA R71". The record is from RNAcentral. Lineage: Eukaryota; Viridiplantae; Streptophyta; Magnoliopsida; Brassicales; Brassicaceae.
UUCUUCCUCAUUUAUACCUGUAAGUAUUGGUAAUACCUGGAACAGAACCGAUACUCGAUCAGGUACCCGAAUUAGCUGAAAUACAACUAAAUACUUAUAAAUUAUUAAAUAUAUUACAGUGUUUUAAGUAUAUUUUUGGUAUUUUAGAUAUAUUGUUAUAAGUUUUUUGGAUUUUCAAAUAUAUUUUUUUAGUCUUUUUAAAAACCGAGCCGCAAAUAUUUUGAUAUGUAAAUGGAGCUGAAACCUUUUUUUUAUUAAAUAUUAUUAUUAUUAAACUGACCAACCGAUGAUCAACUGGGUUUACUACAAAAUUGAACUGCUAGCAAAAACCAGAACCGAAAAAACAACAAGAACAAUAUUGGAGAGUUGAGAAGACAAUCAAAGACCCAGGGUCGCUUUGUCCGAUUGACUACCACAGCAGCAUGUGUGACUUGCAAGCUUUGCGGCACACUACCUAGUCCGUUCACAACGCACUACCCGACUCCAGAGGGUUGAUCCCUAACAGAGAGGGCAUGAUCCCCAAUCACCAAUCUUGGCGACAACUAAAGAUAACAACAGACACCAACAGUUUUUAACCGGUGAAUACUGAUAACACCUGAUUUUGACCACUUUUCACAAUUGAUUUCAAAUGCUUUUUCAAAGGUUUUACUUAGUUUUAGGAAAUUUUAUUAUGAUUUCCAUGUAUUUGUAGUUUCAAGGCUCUUUUCAGGAAACUUAGGGAAUAUGAUGGCAAAAUGGAAGAAAUCCACAUUUUUAGCUCAGAGUCAGACUGUCCGAUCCAGCUCAAAUUUGGAGACAAUCAAGAGGAGACAACCAGCUUUCCAUAGCACUUUACAUCACAAAGAUCCAACGGUGCAAUCAAAAGAUACAUGGAGAACAAGUUGACCCAGUUCACCAGUCCCAGAAGACUCUCACCCGCGGCAAACACAUGUUUUACCUGCCUUGGAAGACUCUCACCCCCGGUGGACCUUAGGACGAGCCACAAGGCCCAACAUCAAAGCCCACUUCACCAUUUCUCUUCAGAGAAGCCCUAAAUGAGACCUGGAAGACCUUAGGACCUAUAAAUACAUUGUUUAGCAGCCCUAAACGGGUGUGUGCUCCUGUAAUGAGAUUUUGAGCCACCAAACUUUGUUUUUCUAGGGUUAGGCGAUGGAGAUGGGGAUUCUUCCCCAGAUCCAUUGUUCUUCCUCCUUUUUAUUCUAUUAACUUUUUUGUUUCAUUCUUUUGCAUUCUUCUAUGUCUUUCAUCAUUCAUUGCAUCAUGUAGAUUAGUCUCAGAGAGUCAAAUUGUUUGAAGACAUCGACAAGCAUAUAUAUCGAUUAGGAUUUCUAUUGUUCUUAGCCAUAUUCUGGAUCUCAUCUCUUCUAAGUAAUUCGUAAAGCAUGAGAGUAAAUUCAUGACCUAUUCUCUGAGCCUAGGAUCGAUCAGAGCCACGAGAGUGCUGUAUCAGAUCAUCCAUACCUAGCUUCAGAAGAACAUAGUCGCUAUAGGAGUCGAAAGCUACCUAUAGAAAAGAUGUGAGCAGACGAAUUCAGUGUUCAUAGCAUGAUCUUAAGUUUAGCAUGAGAGCAAGAGUUAAUUGCUAGAUCUAAGAGAUUAGUUGAUUAAGGUGACGACAGUUGGUUAAUCAUACAUGUGUCUAUUCUAGUUCAAUGCAGAUUCCCAGAAACAGAUGAAGAUAAAUCGCCCGGAAGCUAGUUGGAAAUGCCACCAUGCAUCAAUUAGAGUAAACCAGAGAAGUCUAAAUCGCCACCUAUGAGUUUAAGAGUCUUUAGUUUGAAUCGAUAUGCUUUAGAUGUUCUUUUAACAAUUCAUUCUGCAUUGCAUCUCUUGUGAAUAUUAGAUUAGGUUUAGUUUAGGAUCUUCACCAAAAACCCCAUAUCUUUUAUUGGUUUAUGAGUUUGCUUACUUCCCAGUUUGUUGUUUCUUGCAGAUUAGGCAUCCUCCAUGUGGAUCGACACCCUAAGUCCUACAACGUACAUCUGUGCACUUGCAGACACUAGGGUUUUAUAAUUUUAAAUCUUUUGGAGGACCAACAGGCUUGUUAAAAAAUGACCCUAGGCCCGCAAGCCCAUCAAAUACUAACCGGAACGAGCACUCAAUCUCCGCCUCCCCCAUCUACUCCUCAUUCGUCUAGCAGGGAGUUCUCGAACUGUCUCGCCUCAACACCACACCUUCAAUCUAGUCAUGGAAGGACCCAAAACGAGCCGGCAAGCAAAGGGAUGACCAAACCCUAGCCACCGCCAAGCACCGUAAGGGGCUGCUUCCGAUGCAGGACGUCUUCCACACCACCUCCUCAACUUGCAACGCAACCCACUGAUAACACCGUAUUUUGACCAUUUUUAUAGAUCACUUUAAUAUCUUUUGCAGGUGUUUUUACUCCAUUUUCAAAGGUUUUCAAAGGAUUUCUAUGUUUUCGGAUUUUAAAAGACUUUUCAGGUAAUAUGGGAUAAAGAUGUGCUAAUUGGAACAAAAAGACUCUUUUAGAUAAAUUAAGACCGUUAGAACUCUCAUGGAGAGACGAAGAUCUUCUCACCGUCUGAUCACCCUCAAAAUUGGACAAUUAAUUGAAGACUCUACCAAAUUUCAAAUGCACUUAGUUUGGAGACAUUCCAACGGUUGGAUCUCAAGAUAUUCCAUUUGCCCCGGAGACAUUCGAAGACAGCCGGCAAGCCACGCGACCGCGGCCAGUAGCCCAUCGUUUAUGAUCCUUGUAGAGUUCCCGAAAGUCCAGCGUUUUUAAUCACUGUUUACAAACAAUUUGAUAUUUACUUGCUUUCUUAGAUCUGCAUUUUAUUUGCCUUAGUUUGAUUUUCUGCUUGUUUCAUUUGCUUUCAUUCGAUUUUCUACUUGCUUUUUAGGAUAGUUUCAUUUGCUUUCUUUAGUUUUAGUUUAAUCUGUGACAAACAACAACCCUUUUAAAACCGAUUUAGUCUAGACAUAAACUUAGAAACCGUGGUAAAAUGCUAGGCACACAAAUCCCUGUGGAUUCGAUCUCUAAGUACUACAACUGAUUAGUUGUGCACUUGUGGCUUUCAUUUAUUUUUAUUAAGGGUAAAACUUGUUCCCUCACUUUGUAGCACAUCGAGUUUUUGGCGCCGCUGCCGGGGAUUUGUUUCUUUGUCUUUUUUUUUCUUGUUCUAAUUUCUGUUCUAGACAUCUGAUCUCUAGUUCCUUCUUAAGUUGCUAUAUUAUCUUUCCCUUCUUUUGUUUUUCUAUGAAUUGCAUGAAUACCAGGCACAGACCUGUAGAAAACAUUCCAAUUCUAGACAAGAUAGACAGACAUGAAAGAGAACUUCGAAGACUUAGACGAAUGCAAGGAAUUGUCGACGACGACCAGCCUGGAGAUCCUGUUAACCGAAAUUUAAACAUGGACCAAGAUGGGUCCAAACAUGGUGAAAACAAAGAGAAUGAUCACAGAGAAGGUGAUCAUGCUUGACAAGAUGGAGAAGAGAAUGCGAUUCCUCCAAGAAAUCCUCAAAACCGAGAGAGAGAAGAAUGUGAAGACCUUGAUGCACCUAUCAAUGUAGCUUAUGGUAACAACCAGGAGAUGCAGCCGAAUGGGCGCAAUAACGCCAUGUUCAGCAAGCAAAUCAACACCGGAGACAAGCCAGGAACCAUCGCAUAGUUGAUUUCGACGCACCUACUCAGAAUUUUCAAAAUCGAUCUGCAAUCCAAGUACCGUUCCCAAACCGGAAUGAGUUUGAAGUCAAGCCUCAAAUCAUCUCUUCGGUGAAACAAAACCAGUUCCAUGGAGUUCCUUCUGAACAUCCAAUGGAUCACAUUUAACUCUUUGAAGAAAUCUGCAGCAUGAUGAGGACAAACCAAGUUCCAGCAGAUUAUCUAAAGUGUAAGUUGUUUUCUUUUUCAUCAGCAGAUAAAGCUCACCGUUGGUUGAAAUCUUUGCCUGCAGGACUGAUUACCAAUUGGAAAAAAUGUAAAACCGCUUUUCUGAACCACUUCUAUACUAAGUCAAGGUCGAACUUACUGAGAACCAAGAUCUCAAGUUUUCAGCAAGGACCACCUGAACCUUUCUAUGAAGUCUGGAGCGUUUUAAAGAGUAUGAAGGUGACUGCCCUCACCAUGGAUUUCCCGGAUCAAGCCUGCUGAGCACAUUUUAUAGAGGUUUGCAACCAAAAUACAAACUUUCACUUGAUACAGCCAGGAACAGAGAUUUUGGACAGAAAAUGACAGCACAAGGAAGAGCCCUCAUCGAAAAUUUGGCUCAAGCUAAUAACAAUGAUUGUCAGGAAUACGAUCGAUUGACGAAGUCGGCUGGAACGGAUAACAAGGAAAUAACCGAGUUGAAGAACAUGAUGAGCCAGGUUUUGAAAAGCCACAAUCUCCCAAUCCAUGCUUGUGACACCAACAAUGCCGCAGCAGACGAAGGACCUUGUGAUACCGAUCACACUAAUCCGACCUUUCAGGAAGAAGAACUGAACUAUGUAGGAGCUCAAGCACCAUAUUCAAAUCGCUUCAACAAUGCUUCCAACAACAACUUCCAGAAUGCGAACUACAACAAUCUCUCUUACCAAAAUCCAAAUGUGGAGAAUCCUCAAGACCAGCAUUACCCACCGCAGCAGAAACUCUUCCAAAACAAGUUCCAAAGUAGAAAUUUCAGAGGGACUGGAGUUUUUCAGCCGCAAAAACCAUAAAACUAUCAAGGUACAGGAUUCAAUAAUCAAUUUGGACAGCAGCAAGAGUUACAACAAACCAGCUAGUUUCGCAAAUAGGAAUACUUGAACAGUCCAUCCAACAGCUUGUUAUGACAAACGAGAAGGCAGCUAAAGACAUGAACGUGAAAGUUGAUUGCAUGUACAAUGACCUGAACAGGAAGUUUGAAGCUUUAUCUUCUCACGUCAAAAAUCUAGACGUCCAAGUUGCCCAAACAGCUGAUUCUAUGAAAAGACAAAAUGAAGCUCUUCCCGGGAGAGUAGAAGACAACCCCAAGAGAUUUUGCAAUGCCAUCACUACAUUGCCUGAAGAAGGAGCCAAAACCGAUGGAGAGGACAAAGAAACCCCAUUCUCUAUACCUCUCUGCAAGAAUGUCGAUGCAAAGCAACCACCAUUUAAGGUAUCUCAACGUUCCCCGCUUUAAAGGCUCACAAAAGUCGAUGACUCGGGACAUUUUUCUUUCCAAUGUUUCAUAUCAGGAAUCAAGUUUACAGACUGUGUAUACGAUUCCAGAGGCAAUGUCAACAUCAUGUCUAAGGCAUUUGCCAAAAAAUGGGGAUAAAGACCUUAAGGCAAUCGACGGUUAAGGUGAUCUUUGGAGAUUCAUCUCAAAAAAAUACUGAAGGGGCGAUUCAUGACCUGCAGAUUCUAGUUGGGAACAAGGUUGUUCCAGCAGAUUUCCAAGUUCUGGAAAUCGAUCAAGACAAAGAGAGACUACUUCUAUUUGGGCGACCGUUUCUAGCUAAAGUAGGAGCAGUAAUCGAUCAUGCUAACUGGCAUGCUGUCUUUCUGAACGUGGACCGCAAGAAGUUUUAUCCCACUGUCCCAGACGAUGCUCCAAACAAAGGAAAAUGGCCAAAGGAGAAAGACAAGGAGAAGCCAAGACCUUUUGCAAAAAUCAAGAUCAUCAUUCCACCAGAUUCAACAGAGUCUAGUGAGGAACAGAUCCAAGAACUGAUCGAGAACACAAAAAGGGUCUUAAACAACGUUAAAGUCCGAAAGAAGAGUAAAGGAAAGAAGCUGGUGCUACAAGAAGAAGAAGAAAAACCUCCAGCACCCAAAAAUGAUAAAGGCACAUCAAGUGAAGUGCCACUUCAUCCAGCCGGAUCUUUUAAGCCUAAGUCGAGCUAAACGACUUAAAACAAAAGCGCUUAAUGGGAGGCAACCCAUUUAGGUACACUUUCUUUUAGUUUUCUUUUCCUUUUUGCAAUUUAUGUUUUCUCUUUCCUUUUAGUUUCAGGUACUCUUAUAAAACAAAAACACAAAAAAAUAUCAGAAAAAUAGAAAAACCCAAAAAGAAGAAAAGGUUUUUAGCUGCUUGGCCCACAAAAAACCUGAAUGAUGGACGCAGGCCGCAGGAAAAUGGGUGCGGUCGCGACCAACCGACCCGCGGCCAACACAUGAUCGACCGCGGCACCAUGAAUGUGACCGCAGCCGGACCCUUGUUCACCGCGGUCACGCGUCUCCUGACCGCGGCUGUUGGUCGUUGAGACGGAACCUACGAUUUUCGUUACUUUUCAAAGAUUUCCGGUGAUUUCCGACAAUUUCCGAAACGUUCCCCGGGACAGCUCAUUCCAAUUUUUUGUGAGUUUUUAAUUUCCGUUUACGUAACAAACAAGUAAGAUAAGUUUCCGUAAGCUUUUGAAUUCCCAAAAAAUUUCCCGUUUUUGCCACAAAAAUGCUUCUUAAAGAAAGGAAAUGCACUUUUGGAUCAAAACUCCUUUUUCUCUUCUCUUCCAAGAGACUUGGAGAUUUAGGAGAUAGAGCAUCUUUUUCAAUUCUUAAGCUUUUUCAGAGAUUCUUGGACCAAACCUCACUCUUUUUCAAAGCUGAUUUUGAAUCUAUUAUCAAAUCUCUCUUUUCAGCAAUGUAUGAAGGCAGUUUUUAAUUGAUUUUGGAACUUAAAGUUUUCUUAAAAAGGUCAAAUCUAAGUUUAUUAGUGGUGGAGAUAGCUUAAGAAGAAUAGAUUUGUCUUUUAGGUUGUCUGGAAAUCGAUUUUAACACCUGGUUUAAGAGGAAUUGAGAAUUUUGAAAUUUGGAAUCUACAUGCUUUUUGAAAAUCAAAUUUGGACUAGUAAAGUUGAUGAAUUUGAUCAAAUAUUGUGUGAUUAGUGAUUAGUAUCAGGUGACCUAUAGAUUUGACAUGGAAAUUGCUCAAUUAAACCGAUUUUUAGAAAAUUUCUAUGUCAAGAACAUCACAAGUUCGAAUCUGGUCAUGAACUACUCAAUUUUUCGAAUUGAUAUCAGUUAUGCUUGCUUGUUGAACUCAGCAUCCAUAUUCACUGUUUAACUAAUCUCUUGAUACUCUGAUUCGUAUACGUGAUCGUUAAUAUGUUAAACUCAGCAUCCAUAUUCACUGUUUUUCCGAGAAUUACCUUGUCUUGUAGGAAAAUGGAAUGAACCGAGUCUCGGAGAAGCCGUCGCACUGGUGACAGCUCCGAGGCAAUACCCGAUGAUAGUACUCUUGGAGAGUAUAUGCUGAGCCAAGCUAGACCGAGAACAAGAGGUCGAGUGAUGAGGCUGCUCCAACACUCAAGAGAAGCCCAUGCGAUUCCCGAGCCACCAAAGAUCAGAUAAGAUUAACCCAAGAGUCGAUUAUGCAAGGCGCUUUAAGAAGGUGAACAUCAAACCAACACCCUGCAUUGAUUAUUGAUGUGGGUGCAGUGGGCAACACAAGUUUUACCCUAGGCAAGCUACAAGUACACAGCAAACGCAGUAGUACUUAGGAAUCGAAUCCACAGAGAUCUGUGUGUUGAGGAUUUCUAACUGAUGCUAAAAAAAAUCGUAAACCUAAUCUAAAUAAAAAGGGUUUGUCACUAAAUCUAAUUUUGCAAAGAAUUAACAAGGCUUGAAGCAAAAAUCGGUUGAACACUUAUAUGAAAAGCGGCGCUGGGUUCAAGGUUCAUCUUUAGGGUUCAUGUUCUAAAACAAAAGGAAUUUAGGCAAGGAUUUUCUAUGACUUUGAAACUAGGAUAGACACAUGUAUGAUUAGCCAACUCUCGCCACCCCAAUCAUCUAAUCACUUGUUCAUGGCAAUUAACUCUCGCUCUCAUGUCAGAACAAGAUCAUGCUUUGUAGAUCAGAAUCCAUCUCUGCUUACGUAUCCUCCGUAGGUAGCUUUCGUCUCCUACGACGGUGACGUCCAUAAGAUCGAGUUCAGGCAACCCAGAUACAACACUCUUGUGGCUCGGAUUUAACCUAAGAUCGGAUUCUGGGUGAUCAAUCCAGAAUUACCGCUUUGAGAUUUGGAUGAAUGGGAGAAUCAUGAUAAAAAUCAAAAUCCUUUUUCCUAAAAACCUAGAUGUCAUUCGAACAUGGGGUCCCUUUGGAUUACCCUUUCACCUAACUAGGUGACUACUUGGACAUAGCUGAAAUAGACAUCAUCAUCGGUUUAAGAACUAGAAAAAAGAAAAGUAAAGAAACAAAAGUUUCAGAAAAACUUCUCUUAUUAAAGACAGAUUGGCGAUGGAGAGCUUAUACAAAUGCAUAAAAAUAAAACCUAAAACUACAAAUGAGUUCUCUCUCAAAGAGAAGAAAGAGGCUCUCUUACAGAAGACCUAAAAAUGAGUAUUUAAAGUGUUUCUCCAAGUCUUGGGCGUCUAGGGCUUGUAAAUUGGGUACAGGAAGUGUCUGGGGCCUUAUUUGGGCUCCUGAGGUUCGGACAUAGAUCCACCGGGGGUGAAACCUCUUGAGCCGCAGUGGGAAGAAGGCUGGCCGCGGGUGAAAGCACUUGUGCUUGACUAGACUUGUGUUGAUCGGUCUUUAGUGAAUUAAUGAUAUCUGAAGAUCUAACCGUUGGAUUGCUUUGAUUCCAAGUGUGUUGGAAAGCUGGUUGUCUCCUCUAUAAUUUCUCUAAAUUUGGGGAUGAGCAGAUGGUGAGAAGGUCUUCAUUGGUUGCCAAACUUCUGACAGUCUGAAUUUAUCCAAAAAUGUACUUUUACUCCAAAAUGCACUCCAAAGUCCCAAGUUUCCUGAAAAACCUUUUAAAAAUCCAAAACAUGGAAAACACUUAUAAAACCUUUAAAACUGAGUAAAAACACCUGCAUAAGAUACUGAAAGUGAUCCAUAAAAGUGGUCAAAAUCAGGUGUUAUCAACUCCCCCAUACUUAAACCUUUGUUUGUCCUCAAACAAAACCAAAGAUCUGAACAUGGAAAAGAGGUUUGAAAAUCGCAGGAACUAACAAAGUUUCAGAGACUAUGCUUCUAAACCAAAGUUAGUCAUUAUGCUCAAAUCAGGGAUAGUCUAGAAAAUUCUCACCAAAGCACAUGCAUAACUAAGGCAUAACUAAUCCGUUGAUCAGUCAUGCAAAAAUCUAAACACUUAAACCUAUCCUCCAGUCAACUAGCUCUUAACAUUCAUUUAAUAGUUCCAGUGGUUCUCAUCAAAAGGAGUUUAGCAAGGCAAUCAAGGCUAGGUAUUCAGAAUGGCUGUUUAGAAGGUGAGGUUUUUAGUGUUUAGGGUUACCUUUUCUGGUGAGACAAGACAUUAUGCAAAACAGCAGAGGGGGUGGAGCUGUUGAUAUCCACAGUUUCCAGUCACAUUCUUCUUGCCUUUAGAUUCUUGAUCUUGUUUUUUCAGGUUCUCCUCAUGACUCCCCCAGACUUAAAUUUUUGUCCAGGUUUAAAACGAAUGCUCACUAAUGAAUACUUGUAGCCUUUGCUACAGAAAAUUUUGGCCAACCUAGACUCUUUUAGGCUUUUUAUUUUUCUUUUCCUUUCAUUUUUUUUUUUUUUUUGCAGAAAGGGGAAAAUGCCUUUGGGUGUAGACUCUUAGGAGGCAGGAAAUUUACCUUUAAAUUUAAGCUUUCUGAGGCACCAUUAAGCUUUGAUAGAUUCUUGAUGCUCCACUUUCCCAAAUUUCUUCAGUCUUCUUCUUGAGUGACUGAAAACCAUGUUGCUCCUCUAUCUCUGGCGUUUGUGCACAUAUUUGUCGAUAUAAACCAAAGAGAGAAUGCAUGAGGUUUAAACAUGAAGGUUUGGGUAAAAGGUGUGGUACCAGCUAAUGAUGAACUGGCCAUCUAGGACAACAAAGAAUGGUAACAAUAAGGUGAAGAUGUCCUAGAUGUGUAUCAUGAUGCCUGUUAAAACCAAUGAUGAGAAAAUUAAUGUCAAGAUUAUGUUCAAGUGAAAUGAGCUAGUCUAUCCUGUCAGAAAAAGUCUCCUUGAGUAGAAAUCCUCUGGUGGGAGUUCGUAGUGCAAGUACUCUAGCUACCGCCUAGUCUAGCACUAACCAUAGAAAGAACUAGCAUGAAAAGUCUAGAAGCACAUGGGUCUUACUCAUCAUAGUUUUGUGUCAAACAUUCCUGAAAAAUACUCAAGGUCUUUUAAUAAUCAUAGAAAUAUUUUAAAAACUGCAGAAAAAUAUAAGAAACAAAGAAAAAUAGAUUAGUACGGAUAAACAUCCUCCCCCAGACUUAAAUCACAUUGUCCCCAGUGUGAAAAAGUUGGUGAGAAGAUGGUGAAAUAAAAGCAAAAGAGUUUAAAAUAAAAGAAAAGAAAAAUGGUGAUAGAACCGUGGAUAUGCUGUGGUGACGGUGAUGGAUAGAGGUCUAUGUCUCAUGGCUGUCAUCUGUCUCUGUGGCAGAGGAAUCAUCAUCAAACCAGCGGUUCUUCUUCAGUAGCCUCUUCAUGCGCCUGUUGAUAUUCUCUUGCUGGUCUAGCUUCUUCUUCAAAGCUGCAAAGUCUGCAUCACUCCUAGUGGAUGCUCUAAUCUGAGAAGAACUGGCUCUGGAUGAAGAUGGUGCAGGCUGAAGUCUCCUGCUGUUUUCAGCUACCUCUCUCUUGGCUUUUGCAGCCAGAAAAUGCUUCAUGGUCAGAGGUAAGAGUGGCAAAGAUGGUAGGAAGUCGCUAGUCUCUGGUUUCCAUCCUGGGACUGAACCAUCUCGGAGACGGGGUAUUGAAUCUGAUGGUAGAAGGACCCUGUACUCGGUGGAACUGGUGCAGAAAUUAUACGCAAAUUUAAUUGGGUCCAUCUUGGCCCUGGUGAUACUCUUGUCUCUAGAGAACUGAGAAAGAUCAAACCAAUCCUCUCUAAGAGGUGUCUCAGCUGAAAAAUCAACUCCUGCUGCUAUUAUAAGCGAAGUAAUGAUGCUCCCAAAAGCUGGUGAGUAGUCCUGACAAUCAGAUGUAAGCAUCUCAUGCUUAACUUUCACUAGGUUCCUUUCAAUGAUACAAGCAAAGCAAGGAAACUUGGGGUGAUCUGCGAAUGGUAAUUGUAGUGUCACUAACUCUAGCUUAAGGAUAUUCGCUUGGUUGGCUCGCGAAAACACAGUGUGUGCUAGUAGCUUAUGCACAUAGCGGACAGCAGGGUGAGAAAGUAAUGAUGCCUUGGACCUUUCUUUGUCAUAAACUCUAUAACCCAUCAGUUUCCAAAGAUCCUCAUCUCGAUCCUUCUCCAAUUAAAUUUCAUCACAGUAAGCCAACUUCAACGCAUCACACAUCUCUAAGAUGGUAAGAGAGGACCUCCAAUAUAGAAGGAGAGUGUGCCAUCUAGAGCUCUAGGAGUAGCUCUCCUCUUGUAGCUCAAAGUUGCUGAUGCAAGGAACUCUUUGGUGUGGCUCUCAUAGGUCUGAAAAUUCUGCUCCAUGAAUGAUCUCAUUCCAAUCCUAUCAAGAUACCAUAUCACAUCUUCUUUGAUUCCAAGCAUCUCAAGAGUUGAGUAGUCAAUUGCUGGAGUUGGCUUGAUCUUCAGCUUCUUAAGCUGCGCCAAGUAGUUGAUGUCUGGGUCAAUGGCUUUACCAACAAACUUCACUUUUGGCCUUGAGGAAGACUUGACCUUUCGAGGUACAGAUAGCUGAGUGGAGGCUCGCUCAAUCUCUCCUGAAAAUAUUCUUCUUUGCGCGGUAAUGAAAGUGGAUAGAGGUUCAUCAUCACUCAGUUGUGUCUCGUUUAAUGUGUCAUAUGUCUCCUGCAAAUGGGCUUUUUUGCAUGAGAACUCUUCUUGGUUCGAAUCAAAGAACAAGAUUCUCAAGACAAAGAAUAAAUCAAGCUGCUUUGGUAUCGAUUUUUAUGAGCAAGGUGUUUAUAGAACUAUCACAAACACAUUCUCAUGACAAAAAAGCUGCAAAUUCAUCAAACAUUGCAAAAUCUGAAAAUUUCUGGUCAAGUUCGAUAUAUUGAUGUCCAACACAUGAGAUUUCUAAAUCAAGAUGAAUUUUAUGCUUAGUCACAUGUAAUUUAAUCUGGUUUUCUAUCAACAAGAAUCAAACAAUCCAGAUUUGCAAAGCUGAAUCAAACAGAUCUUCAAAUUUCGAUUUUCUCAAAGUCUCAAAUCUCAGAUUUUUGAAAACUUCAAAUCUCUAUGGUCUAAGUGUUUAAUCAUGCAAUUAAACUACCCAGUAGUCUAGUCUUAAGUUCAAAGACAAUCUCCAAUCAUCCUAAGGUGAAUUUCUACUCAUUUUAAGAAAACCCUAAAUUUGAGUUCUUAAGAAAAAGUGAGAAAUUUGAUACCAUACCUUUGAUGAAAGUGUUAUGUGAUGAUAGAUUUGGAAUAUCCUUUGAAAAAGAGUGAGAUAGGUUCGAAAAUUUGAAGCUAGUUUAUCAAGUUUGAAAUUUGGUCUUUUUCUCAAAAUUUUCAAGCUUGUUGGGGAAAAUGAAGAGAAGAACUUUUUGAUCUUUUAAAUCCCUUUUUUCUUUUAAAAAAGUGUUUUUCCUGAGAAAAUUUUAUUUUUAAAAGUUUAGAAAACUUACCUUGGCGUGUUUAACACAAAAAUUAUGCUUCGGAAACUUUCCGGUUAAAUCUCGAAAUAAAACAGGAAAUUGAAGUUCCGGUUUACGGGAAACAGGGAGAACUCGCCUGGGACAAAACAAGGGCCGGCCGCAGGCCAGGUGUGCGUGGCCGCGGUAGAAAAGACUUGGACCACGGGCGAGGUGUGUGGACCGUGGCUGAGAAGGGCUUGGCCGCGGCUGGAUUGAUCAUGGCUACGGUGAACUAUACCCGGGGAAUUCCCGGUUUCUCUCGUUUUUCUGUUUUCUCCUCCUAUCUUUUUGUAUUUUCUGGUUUUUUAAUGUUUUUGGUUUUUCUGUGUUUAAUGAAACCCUGAAAUGCAUAAUAAGAAAAGUAAAUAUCAAAUAGAAAAGAAAUAAAAAGAAAAGAAAAUCAUACCAAAUGGAUUGCCUCCCAUUAAGUCUUUUUGUUUAAAGUCUUUUAGCUAGACUCUUGGCAGGAUUAGAAUAGAGAAAAAAUAGUAGGAUCUCUUGAAGUAAGAGUCUUUGGGGUUCUCCUUAGUCUGAACUUUGGAUCCCCAUCAUCUUGAAUCACAACUCUUUUCCUUUCUUAAAGAUUUUUGCAUCCUUGAAGACAUGUCUUGUCUUCUCAACAAUUUUUUCAAGAUUUUUCUCCUUCUCCUUGAUGAUGUCUGGUGGCACCACUAUCUUGAUCUUUUCAAAUUGCAUGGAUACAAGUGCUUUUAGUUCCUUUUUGUCAUCCAACAUCUUCUCUUUGCUCUUAUCCUUGCGGCUUGGAGCUUGAUCUGGUGUGGUCUUAUAGAACUUUUUCCUGUCCACAUUUAAGAAAACUAAAAAGCAAUUUGCAUGGUCAAUAACAGCAUCUAUAGUAGCUAAGAAUGGACGACCAAAUAUCAAGGGUCUGUCUUUGUCCAUCUCUAAGACCUGGAAAUCGGCUGGGAUAAUUUUGUUUCCAAUGACCAGUGGUAAGUCCUGGAUCAUUCCUUCUGUCCUCUUUUGGGAUGAAUCACCAAAGAUUAUCCUUACUGGAGAUGGGACAAAUGUACCUAUACCAAGUUUCUCAGCAACAGAUUUUGACAUAACAUUCACAUUAGCACCAGAAUCACAUAAACAAUCUGAAAAUUCAAUUCUAAAGAUUGAACAAGUGAAAGAAAAACGCCCUGGAUCCUUAGACUUUUUGAGUCUUUGGUCAAGCAAGCGUUUGGGUACCUUAACCGGAAUGACUUGGCUUCUCUCAUGCUCGGUUUUAGAGUCCUUCAUGAGAGGUUCAGGUGUCGACUCUUCCUUAAAGUCUGUGACAGGUUCUUCUUCCAAAUCCGCUGUCAUAGCAUUACAGAACUUCUUUGGAUUAUCUUCCACUCUUCCUGGUAAGACUCCUGGCUGUCUCUUCAUUGAAUCUGCAGUUUGACCUAUCUGAUGUUCCAACUUCUUGAUAUGGGUCGUAAGAGACCAUUCAAGUCAUUGUAAAUACAAUCGAUCUUCACCCCCAUUUUCCUGAUUGACUUCUCAUUGCCUUGAGUCGUCUGUAUCAUAGUUUGUUUGCUUCUAAUGAGCUGGUAUGUGCUUGUUGAGGAUUGAAAGUUGGUCUUUGUUGGAAGUUUCCUCCUCCAUAGUUCCCAUUUUGAAAUUUGUUUUGAAAACUCCUUUGCUGCUGCGGGUAGGGCUGAUUCUUGGCUCCUUGAUUUCUGUAUGAGAGAUUGUUGAAGUUGGCAUCAGAGUUCCUAAAGUUGUUGUUAAAAGCUGGACUAAAUCGGUUAUGGUAUGCCUGAGCUCCCAUAAAAUUAAUUUCUUCCUCUUGGUACAUACCAUCUUCUUCAUCUCCUGCAGUAGUAUCACAAGCAUAUAUAUUCUUAUUUUGAGACUUAAGAAGUUGACUUACCAUUUUUUUUAGCUCAGCAAUCUCCCUUGAUUUAUGACUAGUGAUAGCCUUCUUUGAUCUGUCAUACUCAGGGUUGUUGUUGCUGUUAGCUACAGCUAGAUUUUCGAUGAGUGCUCUCCCUUGUGGUAUGGUUUUCAAAUUGAAAUCUCCAUUGCUGGCAGUGUCAAGAGAAAGUUGAUACUUCUGCUGUAGUCCUCUGUAGAAGGUGCUUAGCAGGUUUGAUCCAGAGAAACCAUGAUGAGGGCUCUUUCAUACUCUUUGAAUUGCUCCCAGGCUUCAUAGAAUGAUUCUAUGGGGCCUUGUUGGAAACUUUGUAUCUUGUUCCUCAGCUGUUUCGAUCUUGACUUGGUGUAGAAGUGGUUCAGGAAAGCUGACUUGCAUUCUUCCCAUGAAGUAAUAGAACCAGAUGGCAUAGAUUUUAACCAUCUAAAAGCUUUAUCACGUAGAGAGAAAGGAAAAAGCUUACACUUCACAUAGUCCACAGUUUCUGGAGUUGUUCUCAACAUUCCAGAGAUUUCUUCAAAAAGAUCAAUGUGGUUUAUUGGAUGCUCAGUAGAGAUUCCAUGGAAUUGAUUCUGCUUCACCAAAGAGACAAUCUGACAUUUUAUCUCAUGAUCUCCUCUUGGAACAGGAAUUUGAAUAGCUGAUCGAUUUUGGAAGUGUUGGUGAGGUGCAUCGAAAUCGGCAAUGAGUGUAUUCCGAGGCUGUCUUCUCGCGGGAUUGGCAAGCUGUAUGGGUCGAUUGGCUUCUCUUCCAUUAGGUGGAACAAUGUUUUCAUCAUUCAUUCUUUCUUCAGGAUCGACUUGGUCUUGUCUCCUUCGGUUAUCAGCGGCUUGAGCAGGAUUCAGAGGGACUUGGUUUCCCUGUUCAUCGAGUUGUGGCUGGCCAUCUUCUUCAUGGGCAGCAUCUAGGUCAUCACCAUGAAUUGUAUCAUGGUCAUCAUCUCCAAUGUGAAUUUCCUGAUCACGGUUUAAAAGAUCUUCCCGAUGGGCAUUCAGAUUGGCCAUCUUGAGUGUUCUUCGUCUGAGUUUCCUAAGUGCUCUUUCGUGUUUCUCAAUCUCGUCUAAGGGCAAUACGAUGUCGUCAGGAUUUCUCCUAGUUUUCAUGCACCUGUGAGCAAAGAAAGCAAACAUAAAAAGAAGAGUUAGAAAAUCUCCAGCAGAACUCGAAAAUCUUGAGGUUUAGGAUUGAAAUUAGAUUACGAAGUCAAGUCAACAGCGACAGUUCCCCGGAAAUGGCGCCAAAAACUUGAUGUGGGUGCAGUGGGCAACACAAGUUUUACCCUUGGCAAGCUUCAAGUGCACAGCAAACGCAGUAGUACUUAGGAAUCGAAUCCACAGAGAUCUGUGUGUUGAGAACUUCUAACUGAUGCUAAAAACAAUCGUAAACCUAAUCUAAAUAAAAGGGGUUUGUCACUAAAUCUAAUUUUAAAAAUAAUUAAAAAGGCUUGAAGUAAAAAUCGGUUGAAAACUUAUUUGAAAAAUGGCGAUGGGUUCAAGGUUCAUCUUUAGGGUUCAUGUUCUAAAACACAAGGAAUUUAGGCAAGAAUUUUCUAUGACUCUGAAACUAGGAUAGACACAUGUAAGAUUAGCCAACUCUCGUCACCCUAAUCAUCUAAUAACUUGUUCAUGGCAAUUAACUCUCGCUCUCAUGCCAGAACAAGAUCAUGCUUUGUAGAUCGGAAUCCAUCUUUGCUUACGUAUCCUCCGUAGGUAGCUUUCAUCUCCUACGACGGUGACGUCCAUAAGAUCCAGUUCAGGCAACCCAUAUACAACACUCUCGUGGCUCGAAUUUAACCUAGGAUCAGAUUCUGGGUUAUCAAUCCAGAAUUACCUCUUUGAGAUUUGGAUGAAUGGGAGAAUCAUGAUAAAAAUCGAAAUCCUUUUUCCUAAAAACCUAGAUGUCAUUCGAACAUAGGGUCCCUUUGGAUUACCCUUUCACCCAACUAGGUGACUACUCAGACAUAGCUGAGAUAGACAUCAUCAUCGGUUUAAGAACUAGAAAGAAGAAAAGUAAAGAAACAAAAGUUGCAGAAAAACUUCUCUUAUUGAAGACAGAUUGGCGAUGGAGAGCUUCUACAAAUGCAUCAAAAUAAAACCUAAAACUACAAAUGAGUUCUCUCUCAAAGAGAAGAAAGAGGCUCUCUUAUAAAAAACCUAAAAAUGAGUAUCUAUAGUGUUUCUCCUUUGGGCAUCUAGGGCUUGUAAAUUGGGUGCAGAAAUUGUCUUGGGCCUUACUUGGGCUCCUGAGGUUCGGACAUAUGUUCAUCGGGGGUGAAACCUCUUGAGCCGCGGUGGGAAGAAGGCUGGCCGCGGGUGAAAGCACUUGUGCUUGACUGGACUUGUGUUGAUUGGUCUUUAGUGCAUUAAUGAUAUCUGGAGACCUAACCGUUGGAUUGUUUUGAUUCCAAGUGUGUUGGAAAGCUGGUUGUUUCCUCUAUAAUGUCUUCGAAUUCGUGGAUGAUCAGACGGGAGAAGGUCUUCAUUGGUUGCCAAACUUCUGAUGGUCUGAAUUUAUCCAAAAAUGUACUUUUGCUCCAAAAUGCACUCCAAAGUCCCAAGUUUCCUGAAAAGCCUUUUAAAACUCCAAAACAUGGAAAACACUUAUAAAACCUUUAAAACUGAGUAAAACACCAGCAUAAGAUACUGAAAGUGAUCCAUAAAAAUGGUCAAAAUCAGGUGUUAUCAAUUAUUAUAGACUCGAGAUGUUUAGGAUUAUAUAAGACGUCAUCUGCUACAUCGAUGCACUUAGGUUGAGACCCUACAUGGAGCUGAAUCUUCCAACUUAUGCCGAGCUAGUUCGCGAGUUCUUAGCAACCGUCACCCUUCACCACACGAAGAGGAGGAGCCCAAGUCAGCCCUUCUUACUCAUCGAAUAAGAACCUGAUUUUGACUUAUGGAGAGAGAUGGGCCAUGGCGUUCAUGACAGCGGGAGAUCCAAGUCAGCCCUUCUUACUCAUUCUGCAGUAAGAGUUGUGCACAAACUCUUACCACACAUGAUUUUCUCUAGAGCCAAUAUGGGAUGUGUCCUAAAGACUGAGCUCAUUACACUUCAGACACCAUUUAUGGACAACCCUCGACUUGCCUGCUUUGCCUGGAUCAUCGCACAGAAAAUAGUGAAGGUGAAGCAUGAUUUACAUGGAUGUGAGGAUGCUACUACUGCAUAUGGGAGCGCUAUUACAGCAGUACUACAGGCUGUAGGAUUUGAUUUCUCAUCUGAUGAUCCACUUCCCGACGUCUGGUAUGACCUACUCUAUCUCUCUCGCGAUCACACUAUCUCUCGUGCCAUUUUCGAUCCAGACAGGUUUGGUUACAAGUAUUGCACUAGCACCGAGGAGCACCGAGUUUGCUUACCUUCAGCAUCAGUCUCGAGACUGUGUAAAGGAGCACACCCACGAUGGACACCGGGACCUGAUGAGUUUCUAUAUUCUGUACCUCGUCUGCCACUCACUAUCGGGCAAUACAUAGUGGCUAAGGUGAAACGCGACGCAGCUGCAGCACGUGCUUACUAUCACCCAUAUGUUUCCACCGAUCAUACUUCAUCAUCUACAUCAUCACGCACACAGUCUGACCUGAAGCGCAGAGUUGAGAGACAGAGAUGACGUUUUGAGCGCGUCGUCACCUUCCUGCAGGAGCAGCACCAAUUCGAGGCAGACACAUCGGAGGAAAAGUGAUUGAUCAGCACUUCAUCAUCAUUGCCCCACCAUCACGGUUCUAUCAUCAUUUUCUUUUUUUUUUUUUUUUUUUUAGACUAUCUCGCUUUUAUUCACCAUUUUCUCACCAACUUUUUCACACUAGGGACAGUGUGAUUUAAGUCUGGGGGAAGAUGUCUAUCCGUACUAAUCAUUUUCUUGCUUUGUUUUUAAAUUUCAAGUACUUUUAAAUUUUUAAUAUGUAACCUAUGCGACUUUAGUAAUUUUCAGGAAUGUUUUACACAAAACUAUGAUGAUUUAGACCUGCAUGCUUCUACACUACGCACGAUAGCUCAUUUGUGGUAAGCACUAGACUAGGCGGUAGCUAACGUACUUGCACUACGAACUCCCACCAGAGGAGUUCUAUUCAUGGAGAUUUUUUCUGACAGAAUAUACUAGCUCAUUUUAUUUUACCUUAAUAUUGAUAUCUAAUUUUCUCAUCAUUGAUUAUUGGCAGGCAUCGAGAUAUACAUCUAGAACGUCUUUUUCCUCAUUUUUACCACUUUUUGUCGUCCUAGAUGGCCAGUUCAUCUUUAUCUGGUACCAAACCCUAAACUCAAACCCUUUGUUUUCAAACCUCACGCAUUCUCUCUUUAGCUUAUGCCAGCAGAUAUGUGCAAAAACGUCGGAGAGAAGAGCAACGACGCAGUUUUCAGUCACUCAAGAGAAAGACUGAAUGGAAUUAGGAAGGAAGAGUACCAGAAACCUUAUCAAGCUUUAUAUUGCCUCAGAGAACUCAUUCUUAUUGGUAAUUUCAUGUUCUCUAUGACUUUAUAUCUAAAUGUGUUUCCCCUUUCAAAAUAAAUAAAUAAAUAAAAGGAAAGGAAAAAAAAAGCCUAAUGAGUUUUAGAUUGUCGAAAUUAUUUAGAGAAAAGGCAACCACUAUUCAUCUAUGGAGCUAUGGUUUUGAAAGAUAGACAAAAAUAUAAGUCUGGGGGAGUUAAGAGAGAACCUGAGAAAGAAGACCAGAAAUUUAUGGCAAGACGAAAGUGACUGGGAACUGUGGAUAUCAACAGUUUCACUCUCUCAUGUCGUUUUGCAUAAUAUCUUGCAUCCUCCAUAUCUUCAGGUAACCCAUAAACACUUUAAGCUUUACCCCUAAAAUGACCCCUUUUGAUACCUAGUCUAGAUCGCCUUGCUUAUACUUUCUUCAAUGAGAACCACCGAAAUUUUGAAUGAAUGUUAAGAGCUAGUUGACAAGAAGUUAAAUCUAAGUGCAAUAGAUUUCCGCAUGACGGAUUAACGGAUUAGUUAUGCCCGUAUUUUUAGUGAGAAUUUUCUAGGCUAUCUCCAAUUGAUACAUAAUGAUCGAUAUUAGUCUAGAAGUUUGGUCUCUGAGAUUUUGUUAGUUCCUGAGUUUUCAAACCUCUCACCGAGAUUUGGUCUUUGUUUUUGAGGACAAACAAAAGUCUAAGUCCGGGAAAGUUGAUAACACCAUAUUUUGACUAUUUUUAUGGAUCACUUUAAUAUCUUUUGCAGGUGUUGUUACUCCAUUUUCAAAGGUUUUCAAAUGAUUUAUAUGUUUUCGGAUUUUAAAAGACUUUCAGGUAAUUUGGGAUAAAGAGGUGCAAAUUGGAACAAAAAGACUCUUUUGGAUAAAUUCAAACCGUCAGAACUCUCAUGGAAAGACGAAGACCUUCUCACCGUCUGAUCACCCUCAAAUUGGACAAUUAAUAGAAUACUCAACCAGUUUUCAAAUGCACUUGGUUUGGAGACAUUCCAACGGUUGGAUCUCAAGAUAUUUCAUUUGCCCUGGAGACAUUCAAAGACGGCCAGCAAGCCACGCAACCGCGGCCAGAGCCACGUGACCGCAGCCAAGCCUUCAUUCCCUACGGUCACACCUCACGCGACCGUGGCCAGACAUCUCCGACUUAAAAAAACCCAUUUCUGAAGCCCAAGUCAUUCUCCAGCCUCAAUUCCGGAACCCUAGAGACCUUGGAGUAUUGAAGACUAUAAAUACUUGUCAUUUAAGUCGUUUUUAGAUAUCACUUUUCAUACUUUUACAGAAACCCCUUUUUCAGCCGUUUUAUGCGAUUUUUAGAGAGGAUUCUUCAACUUUGAGUUCAUCAAUAGAGAAGUUUUCUUUCAUCUCUUUUCUUUACUGUUUCUGAUUGCCUUCAUCAAAACCAAUGAUGAUGUCGAUCUCAUCCAUGGCUGAGUAGAUCCCAAGUUGGGCAUAGGGUUCUCGAAAGGGGCUCUCUUAAUCGAUUAAGACAUCUAGGUUUUUAGAUCUGGGAUUUUAACUAAGUUCUCUGUUUAUUCUCAUCUUUAAUGCAUGUAUGCUUGAUUGAUCACCUCGUAUCUGAUUUAGAUAGUUAGUGUUGCGAAAGUUUUCAUUAAGUAUCCGACCUACAAUGAAACAUGCGAUUUUUCUGUAGGAGUGGAAACCUACCUGCGGCAAAAUCGUGAGUACUGACGAGUCCUGUGCAGCUCUUGCGUUUUCUCCCUUCCAGGGCCAGAGUGGAAACCUACUGGUCAGGGUUGCGAGAAACAGUUGGUUAUAAUCAUGACGGUGACAGUAGUCAUACUGUCGAACUCUAGCUCUAGAACCCUAAUAUUUCGAUAUCCGUCAGUUCCAAUCUAAAAUCCCUAGUAUUGAAACCGAUUAUGAUCCCUGUAGAGUUUUCGAAAGCCCAGCGUUUUUUAAUCACUGUUUACAAACCAAUCGAUAUUUACUUGCUUUUUUAGAUCUGCAUUUUAUUUGUCUUAGUUUGAUUUUCUGCUUGUUUCAUUUGCUUUCAUUUGCUUUCAUUUGAUUUUUUACUUGUUAUUUAGGAUAGUUUCAUUUGCUUUCUUUAUCCGUGACAAACAAUAACCCCUUUAAAACCAAUUUAGUCUAAACAUAAACUUAGAAACCAUGGAAAAAUACUAGGCACACAAAAUUUCUGUGGAUUCGAUCCCUAAAUACUACAACUGAUUAGCUGACUUUAAUUUGUUUUUAUUAAGGAUAAAACUUAUUCCUUCACCUUGUACUACAUCACUCACAAAGCUCCGUCGAUGGCUUUACGGCGGCGAAAAACUACUUUUCUUCUUCUUUGAAUUCUCGAUCUCGUCACCCACUGCUGUCCUCACGCGGUUGUAGAACUGAAGAAUAGAACUCACCUCUGUCGAAUCUAAGUAUCCCAACCACCGUUCAUGCCAUCAGGAGCUAUCCACACGCUUACCCCUGGAUCUCUGAAGCACAAGCUGGAGUAACUAACAAACCAGAGGAGGCCUCCUUACAACAUGGCAAUGAACGCCAAAGGCCGGAGAAGACCUCAGACUUCUGAGAACUAGAAAGAGGUUGAGAGAGAGAAAAAUUUGACGAGUAAGAUCCACGCGCUAAAAUUAUUUUCGGUAGAUCCAAAACCUUCCUAUCUGAAAUACCUGAAAUUGAUCGGUUCCUUUCCGAAAUUAAACCGAAUAUCCGAAUCGGUCUAGCGGUCACCAUCUAGAACUUCUUCAACUCAAGGAGUUUGUUCUCGACGUUGAAGAGCAUCACAUUGACCUAGAUUUCCUAUAAUAUCAACCGCAGUAUCCGUUCACAUUUCCUUAAACAAAAAACUAAUGUUCCUUUUUUAAUCCCUUUAAAUAACAUAUUUUUGGAAAUAAUAAUCAAUUCUCUAAAUUAAAAGACCGAGAAUAGACUCCCUCCUUUUCUAUAAAAAGACGACUCCACCAUUAUAGUUCUUCAUUCAUUCAUCAAAAAUCAUCAAACAAAUACAAAACUUAAAAAUCCUAAAAAAAAUGGCCGGAGAAGGAGAAGUCAUCGCUUGCCACACCCUCGAAGUCUGGAACGAGAAGAUCAAAGCCGCUAAUGAAUCCCAAAAACUUGUAAC